Molecule: ribosomal RNA, 446 nt
Filed under: uncultured bacterium
Lineage: Bacteria
Description: bacterial SSU rRNA
Rfam family: Bacterial small subunit ribosomal RNA
Source: RNAcentral
CCAGACUCCUACGGGAGGCAGCAGUGGGGGAUAUUGCACAAUGGGGGGAACCCUGAUGCAGCGACGCCGCGUGGGUGAAGAAGCGCCUCGGCGCGUAAAGCCCUGUCAGCAGGGAAGAAAAUGACGGUACCUGACUAAGAAGCCCCGGCUAACUACGUGCCAGCAGCCGCGGUAAUACGUAGGGGGCAAGCGUUAUCCGGAAUUACUGGGUGUAAAGGGAGCGCAGACGGCAGUGCAAGUCCGGAGUGAAAGCCCGUGGCUUAACCACGGGACUGCUCUGGAAACUGUGCAGCUAGAGUGCAGGAGAGGCAGGCGGAAUUCCUAGUGUAGCGGUGAAAUGCGUAGAUAUUAGGAGGAACACCAGUGGCGAAGGCGGCCUGCUGGACGACAACUGACGGUGGGGCGCGGAAGCGUGGGGAGCAAACAGGAUUAGAUACCCUAGUAUA